AACGAACGCUGGCGGCAGGCUUAACACAUGCAAGUCGAGCGCUGUAGUAAUACAGAGCGGCGCACGGGUGAGUAACACGUGGGAACGUGCCCUUUGGUUCGGAAUAACUCAGGGAAACUUGAGCUAAUACCGGAUAAGCCCUUACGGGGAAAGGAUUUAUCGCCAUUGGAGCGGCCCGCGUCUGAUUAGCUAGUUGGUGGGGU
This 203-nucleotide ribosomal RNA is filed under the name uncultured bacterium. Its description in RNAcentral is "partial 16S ribosomal RNA". It matches the Rfam family "Bacterial small subunit ribosomal RNA", at positions 29 to 258 of the family's 1533-position model. The record is from RNAcentral.